This is a long non-coding RNA of Ctenopharyngodon idella (grass carp), 1317 nucleotides long. RefSeq lists it as uncharacterized. The record is from RefSeq and is a predicted model, not a curated record. The transcript has 4 exons. Lineage: Eukaryota; Metazoa; Chordata; Actinopteri; Cypriniformes; Xenocyprididae.
UUGGACAACUGAAGAGCUGUAUGCAAAUUCUCUACUAGCUCUCUGUACAAAAGAGGAGUAUCUGCUUUGUGGAUCAGUAGGAGUAAUAAAGCUGUGUUGACUUCAAAUCAUGAUCCUCUCAUCAGCUCUACUCCUGCUGGCAGCAGCUUCAUCCUGUGGUGUUUACUGUGUCGAGCUCACGCAACCUCCAUCUAUGGUUGUGAAACCUCAAGAAUCAUUUUCCAUCUCCUGCAGGAUUUCAGAAUCAAGCUAUUGCAUUCACUGGAUACGUCAACCCACUGGAAAAGCUCUGGAAUGGCUGGGAUAUCUUUGCAGUGGUGGUAGCAGUAAUAUAAAAGACUCCAUAAAAAACAAGAUCAGUUUCACCCAGGACACGUCCAAAAACACAGUGUUUCUACAGGGAAGUAAUUUUCAGACUGAAGACACAGCUGUGUAUUACUGUGCAAGAGACACAGUGAUUAAACAAGACACAGUUCUGUACAAAAACCUGAACACAUUAAUACAUCCAUCCAUCCAAUCAUUUUUUUUUUUUUUUUUUUUUUUUUUAAUGUUUAAAUGUCUAUUUGUGUUGUUUGUAUUGUGUAAUGGUGACGAAUGAGUUUCCCCUUACAGGGAUUAAUAAAGUUUUCUAAUCUAAUCUAAUCCAUCCAUUCAACCAUCCUUAUAUAAAAAUAUCAGAUAGCCAUAGUCAUUUAACAUUUAUGAAACAUGUUCUGAAACAUUUAUGCAACAAAUCUUUUUUUUUUUUUUGGCUUACUUUAUGCUUACUUUAUCUAGUACCCUUAUGCUCUUUCAUUAUGCAUUAUGGUCAUCUUUUAUUUGUUUGUACAUAUGUCUGUUUUUCAUACACAACGGUACAAACAAGCAUCGAUAGACUGGAGGAGGAGUUUAUGCAAAACUGUGCAGUAUAUUUCUGUGUCUGUGUUCACUGACUGUAUGUGGAUCCUGUAGAGGAGAAUCAAUCAGCAAUGACAACAAUGAUCAGUUCACUCCUGAUAUUACUAUUUUUACAUGAUAUUCAUUGUCAGACCUUCACUCAGUCUCAAGCUGUGGUAAAAAGACCUGGUGAAUCUUUUCGGCUGGUCUGUACUGCCUCUGGAUUUACUUUCAGCAGCUACGGGGCAGCUGUGGUGAGACAGGGUCACGGUAAAGGACUGGAAUGGAUUGCAUAUAUUGGUACAUACAGUACUCCGAUCUCCUAUUCCCAGUCAGUCCAGGGAAGGUUCACAGUGUCCAGAGAUGACUCCAGCAGUCAACUGUACCUGCAGAUGAACAGCCUCAAGACUGAAGACACUGCUGUGUAUUACUGUGCUAGAG